Molecule: transfer RNA, 72 nt
Filed under: subsurface metagenome
Description: tRNA-Thr
Rfam family: tRNA
About the family: Transfer RNA (tRNA) molecules are approximately 80 nucleotides in length. Their secondary structure includes four short double-helical elements and three loops (D, anti-codon, and T loops).
Source: RNAcentral
GCCUGCGUAACUCAGCGGUAGAGUGCCAGUCUUGUAAACUGGGAGUCGGGAGUUCGAAUCUCUCCGCAGGCU